This 254-nucleotide ribosomal RNA is filed under the name uncultured bacterium. RNAcentral describes it as "partial 16S ribosomal RNA". It matches the Rfam family "Bacterial small subunit ribosomal RNA", at positions 524 to 776 of the family's 1533-position model. The record is from RNAcentral.
UACGUGGGACACAAGCGUUAUCCGGUGUGAUUGGGCGUAAAGAGUGUGUAGGCGGUCUGGUAAGUCUUGUUUUAAAUCAUAUGGCUCAACCAUAUUUCAGGACAAGAUACUGUCAGUCUAGAAUUAUCUUUAGGGAAAUCGGAAUUCACCGAGGAGUAGUGAAAUGCGUUGAUACGGUGAAGAACACCAGUGGCGAAGGCGGAUUUCUGGAAGGUAAUUGACGCUGAGACACGAAAGCUGGGGGAGCGAACCGG